Molecule: long non-coding RNA, 410 nt
Organism: Solanum stenotomum
Lineage: Eukaryota; Viridiplantae; Streptophyta; Magnoliopsida; Solanales; Solanaceae
Exons: 3
Source: RefSeq, a predicted model, not a curated record
GACGUUUCUUUGUUGGAAAUUGUUAGUAAAACUCAUGUGAGGCGACAUGGAUAUCGUAAGAUUUUGUUCAUUAUCAUGCAAUGAGGAUGACCUGCUUUGCACACGUGCUUCUCCUUCUCCCUUGCCGCUACUGUCCAGUGGGUUUGGGUAACAUCUGAGUUCCCUUAACAAAUUGAAUGCAAACGAUGGUUCAUUCAAGCUCUCAGGAUACAUCUCAGGUCCUGAUGUUUACACAGUGAAGAUAUCAAUCCAAGAUUUGUUUUCAAAGGACCAAUACAUAAAUUACUUAAAUAACACAGCGAUGAGUUUUGACAGUCUUCUGACAUUGAGCUACGAAUUAGAUCUCAGAUAUAUCCACUUCUUUUGUUGAACCUAAGCUGCCCAAGAUCUUUAUAUGAUUCGACUUUCGU